GAUGAACGCUGGCGGCGUGCCUAAUACAUGCAAGUCGAGCGAACAGAUGAGGAGCUUGCUCCUCUGACGUUAGCGGCGGACGGGUGAGUAACACGUGGAUAACCUACCUAUAAGACUGGGAUAACUUCGGGAAACCGGAGCUAAUACCGGAUAAUAUAUUGAACCGCAUGGUUCAAUAGUGAAAGACGGUUUUGCUGUCACUUAUAGAUGGAUCCGCGCCGCAUUAGCUAGUUGGUAAGGUAACGGCUUACCAAGGCAACGAUGCGUAGCCGACCUGAGAGGGUGAUCGGCCACACUGGAACUGAGACAGGGUCAAGACUCCUACGGGAGGCAGCAGUAGGGAAUCUUCCGCAAUGGGCGAAAGCCUGACGGAGCAACGCCGAGUGAGUGAUGAAGGUCUUCGGAUCGUAAAACUCUGUUAUUAGGGAAGAACAAAUGUGUAAGUAACUAUGCACGUCUUGACGGUACCUAAUCAGAAAGCCACGGCUAACUACGUG
Molecule: ribosomal RNA, 497 nt
Filed under: uncultured bacterium
Lineage: Bacteria
Description: partial 16S ribosomal RNA
Rfam family: Bacterial small subunit ribosomal RNA
Source: RNAcentral